GAUGAACGCUGGCGGCGUGCCUAAUACAUGCAAGUCGAGCGAACGGACGUGAAGCUUGCUUCUCUGAUGUUAGCGGCGGACGGGUGAGUAACACGUGGAUAACCUACCUAUAAGACUGGGAUAACUUCGGGAAACCGGAGCUAAUACCGGAUAAUAUUUUGAACCGCAUGGUUCAAAAGUGAAAGACGGUCUUGCUGUCACUUAUAGAUGGAUCCGCGCUGCAUUAGCUAGUUGGUAAGGUAACGGCUUACCAAGGCAACGAUGCAUAGCCGACCUGAGAGGGUGAUCGGCCACACUGGAACUGAGACACGGUCCAGACUCCUACGGGAGGCAGCAGUAGGGAAUCUUCCGCAAUGGGCGAAAGCCUGGCGGAGCAACGCCGCGUGAGUGAUGAAGGUCUUCGGAUCGUAAAACUCUGUUAUUAGGGAAGAACAUAUGUGUAAGUAACUGUGCACAUCUUGACGGUACCUAAUCAGAAAGCCACGGCUAACUACGUG
This 497-nucleotide ribosomal RNA is filed under the name uncultured bacterium. Its description in RNAcentral is "partial 16S ribosomal RNA". It matches the Rfam family "Bacterial small subunit ribosomal RNA", at positions 28 to 507 of the family's 1533-position model. The record is from RNAcentral.